UGAUUUCCCACUUGUGCUGUUGUUGUGUGGGAAAACUCGACUCCAGUCAUCCGCCAUGAUGUUGUCUAGGCCCUUUAUGCGUAUGGCCAUCAGACAGACUUGAUGUCUGAUGCACCAAUGCCAUAGUUGCAGACUGAGUGCACAAAGACUUCAAGACAUUGUUCCUCCCUGACGGUUGAUGUAGGUCAGGGCCGCGGUAUUUUCUAACUGCAUCUGUACAACUCUUUCUUGUAGAAGUGGAAGGAAGGCUUCCAUUGCCUUGAAGACAGCCAGAAGCUCCAGGAAUUUUAUAUGCAAUUGUUUUUGUUGAAAGGACCAUUUGCCCUGUAUCUGAUGAGCUCCACAGUGGGCUCCCCAGCCUAGCAGAGAGGCAUCUGUCAUUAGCCAGAUAGGAGUCAUCAUUUGAAAUGGAACCCCUUCCAGCAGAUUCCUGCUUGUCGACCACCAGGCAUAUUGUACAACUGUGUUGGAGGAUGUCAUUAGAUCUAAGAGCCGGGCAGGUUGAGAAAGAUGCUGCUGGACAUGGAGAACCAAAUCCCUGAUGCACUGGAAACGUUCUUGAGUCAGAAGCCAGUUGUCCAUGUAAGGAUAGAUCGAUAUGCCUUCUGUUCGUAGGUUGAUGGAGCGAAGCCACAAGUGUCUGCGCAGGGAGAUUGCCGCGGCCAAAGAGUGGGAUUCGGACUUGACCAGGUGUUUGGCAGUACUUAAUUGUUGGCGGGAGAUACAUGAGUGGUUGGAGCCACGUCAACUGGAGGAUAAAUUCUGGCAUCUGGAUCAUCUGGGUCAGAUAUGAAGUCUGAAGGAAAUAAAACUCAGAAGAACCUAACCAACGAGGAACAACAGCCCAAGGACCGAAUGCAAUGGCGGUCAGAAAAGAACUGAAGAACAUGGCACCAGGCCUGCCUUUUAAAAGCAUGCUGCAGGCAUGGAGGUGGGACUCGGUCGCCUCAAUGAGAUGUGGCAUGCUACCACUAGAGUCCUACACAGGCACAUUAUCCAUUCUUAUGGAUCUUGACGGAUCUCAAUCCAGAUCAAUCCAGAAUGUGGCUCUACACAGGCGCAAGCCCCCAGUGUGAUGCACAGAACAUUUGAAUAACUAUGGUUACAGGUAAGAACCCUGCCUUUUAUCAACACAGUGAGAGACUGAAAUGAGUAGAGGCUCAUUUCAAUUAUAGAGGCUUUAACGUUUUAUGUUAUUUUUCCUGGUGGCAGCAAGUGUAAAAGUUCAAUGAAACCUAAGACACUUCUACAAGAUAAAUUAUCCUCAAAACACAGAGUACUAGAGUGGACUAUAA
Long non-coding RNA from Hemicordylus capensis (graceful crag lizard), 1295 nucleotides. RefSeq lists it as uncharacterized. The transcript is spliced from 6 exons. Lineage: Eukaryota; Metazoa; Chordata; Lepidosauria; Squamata; Cordylidae. The record is from RefSeq and is a predicted model, not a curated record.